This 253-nucleotide ribosomal RNA is filed under the name uncultured bacterium. RNAcentral describes it as "partial 16S ribosomal RNA". It matches the Rfam family "Bacterial small subunit ribosomal RNA", at positions 524 to 776 of the family's 1533-position model. The record is from RNAcentral.
UACGGAGGGUGCAAGCGUUAUCCGGAUUUACUGGGUUUAAAGGGUGUGUAGGCGGGCUAUUAAGUCAGUGGUGAAAUCUCCGGGCUCAACCCGGAAACUGCCAUUGAUACUAUUAGUCUUGAAUAUUGUUGAGGUAGGCGGAAUAAGUCAUGUAGCGGUGAAAUGCAUAGAUAUGACUUAGAACACCGAUUGCGAAGGCAGCUUGCUAAACAAUGAUUGACGCUGAGGCACGAAAGCGUGGGGAUCAAACAGG